This 1200-nucleotide ribosomal RNA is filed under the name Triticum aestivum (bread wheat). RNAcentral describes it as "partial small subunit ribosomal RNA". The record is from RNAcentral. Lineage: Eukaryota; Viridiplantae; Streptophyta; Magnoliopsida; Poales; Poaceae.
AUGCUGCUGGAGAUUUUUGGAUCUGGAAUGAGACUAACACGGAAUAAUGACUGGGUUCUAAGAUUGCUCUUUGUUGACCGAUCUGCUUAUGCAUCCUUUGUCCUGGCAAGCAACAUUGCAGUAAAAGGAGUGAAUAACUGGGGCAGGCCAAAUUGGCUCCGCGUCCUCCCUUGUGCCAGUAAUUAUUUCUGCACCUCCAUCUAUGCCACCAAAGGCAAACAAUUUGCCAUCACCAAGGGGAUGAACAGAUCAGAGAUGAAGGGGCGAACGAAGCAAGUCCUUGUUGGCCAUGCCUCUUAUCCUGUAUCUGAAGCCAACAUCUUUAAGAAAACCACCCAUCGGGAUGGUUCUAUAUACAAGAUAAACUAUGGUAUUCUAAAGCUAUGGCGUCUUACUCAACGUGCACAACUAGAGCCGAUGAUGUUCUCGAAUCCCACGAAUUGUUUCCCGGAUAGGGAUAGAUGCAUGGUACAUUCUGCAACUGCUAUGUUGCAGAUUUUCUCGCUGAAAUUGGAAAAAGCUAGUACCAACAUCGGCUUGGUACAACUAUAUGGAUAUAUAGCAGCGCGUGAUCGUUAUGAUUCAUUGCUUAAUUAUGUCUUCAGUCGUAGCAGAGAUGAUCCCAUCAUUGUUGAACAGGGUUCUCUUAUUGAGAUGACUGGCCCUAAGAGAGGCAUCACAAUGGUAGCCCCUGCUCUAGUUGAGUUUGACAUGAGGAUCAAGAAAGGAAAGCAAGAAGAUGAUCUACAACUAAUUGAUGGUGCAAUGGAGUACCAUGAUCUAGUCACACCUGAGUAUCCAUUCACGCAUCGGAUUAAUGGAGAUUGUGGUGCGGUUGACAUCACUUUAGCCCUCGUUCGUUGGGCAUUUGAGGCCACAAUAGAUGUUGUCAUAUCAAAAGUGCAGUGUGGAUUUGAUUUAUCUCUCAGUUCGUGUGUUGUCGUUAUGAAUGGAUUACAUGAGAUUCAACUCUUUCGUGGCAGUUUUGUUGAGUCAUGUGGCUUAAGAAGAUAUGUGAUUGCUGUAAAAAAGGAUACUUUGAUGCAUUUGAAGUUCAAGGUAGGUCAAAAUAGUUGUAAAAAUGAUCUUGAUCAUCAUUGUUCUUUCAAAGCAAAAAAACAUGGGUACGACUAUCAGCAAAUCGUGCUUGAGCUUGCCUCUAUCUCAGUGAAGGUGACUUGGUCGAACUUGCAAAGGUAA